RNAcentral lists this unclassified non-coding RNA (340 nucleotides) under soil metagenome. RNAcentral's name for it is "partial contains 5.8S ribosomal RNA, internal transcribed spacer 2, and large subunit ribosomal RNA". The stretch from base 1 to 120 matches the Rfam family "5.8S ribosomal RNA", at positions 35 to 154 of the family's 154-position model. The record is from RNAcentral.
GAUGAAGAACGUAGCGAAAUGCGAUAAGUAAUGUGAAUUGCAGAAUUCAGUGAAUCAUCGAAUCUUUGAACGCACAUUGCGCCCACUAGUAUUCUGGUGGGCAUGCCUGUUCGAGCGUCAUUAACUCCCCUCAAGCCCUACUGCUUGGUAUUGGGAGACUACAGCCUCGCUGUAGCUCCUCAAAGUCAGCGGCGGAGUCGUGUCAUCCUCUGAGCUUAGUAAUUACUUUCUAGCUUGCGAGCGAGGCGCGUCCCCUGCCGUAAAACACCCAACUUCUUUAGUUUGACCUCGGAUCAGGUAGGAAUACCCGCUGAACUUAAGCAUAUCAUUAAGCGGAGGA